GUAGGUGGCAAACGUUGUCCGGGAUUCACUGGGGCGUAAAGCGCGCGCAGGCGGGCUGAUCAGUCUGGGGGGUGAAAUCUCUCGGGCUUAACCGAGAGAGGCCCUCAGAUACUGUCAGCCCUUGAGGUGCCUAGAGGAGAGUGGAAUUCAGGGUGUAGUGGUGGAAUGCGUAGAUAUCCUGAGGAACACCAGUGGCGAAGGCGACUCUCUGGGGGCAUUCUGACGCUGAGGCGCGAAAGCGUGGGGAGCGAACCGGAUUAGAUACCCGGGUAGUCCACGCCGUAAACGAUGAGUACUAGUUGUUCGUGGUAUCGACGCCUCGAGUAACGAAGCUAACGCGUUAAGUACUCCGCCUGGGGACUACGACCGCAAGGUUA
This 377-nucleotide ribosomal RNA is filed under the name uncultured organism. RNAcentral's name for it is "partial 16S ribosomal RNA". It matches the Rfam family "Bacterial small subunit ribosomal RNA", at positions 527 to 896 of the family's 1533-position model. The record is from RNAcentral.